This 397-nucleotide ribosomal RNA is filed under the name uncultured beta proteobacterium. Its description in RNAcentral is "bacterial SSU rRNA". It matches the Rfam family "Bacterial small subunit ribosomal RNA", at positions 114 to 507 of the family's 1533-position model. The record is from RNAcentral. Lineage: Bacteria; Pseudomonadati; Pseudomonadota; Betaproteobacteria.
UAUAUCGGAACGUGCCCAGUAGUGGGGGAUAGCCCGGCGAAAGCCGGAUUAAUACCGCAUGAGACCUGAGGGUGAAAGCGGGGGAUCGCAAGACCUCGCGCUAUUGGAGCGGCCGAUAUCAGAUUAGCUAGUUGGUGGGGUAAAGGCCUACCAAGGCAACGAUCUGUAGUUGGUCUGAGAGGACGACCAGCCACACUGGGACUGAGACACGGCCCAGACUCCUACGGGAGGCAGCAGUGGGGAAUUUUGGACAAUGGGCGCAAGCCUGAUCCAGCAAUGCCGCGUGCAGGAAGAAGGCCUUCGGGUUGUAAACUGCUUUUGUCAGGGAAGAAAUCUUCUGGGUUAAUACCUCGGGAGGAUGACGGUACCUGAAGAAUAAGCACCGGCUAAGUACGUG